This 450-nucleotide ribosomal RNA is filed under the name uncultured bacterium. RNAcentral describes it as "partial 16S ribosomal RNA". It matches the Rfam family "Bacterial small subunit ribosomal RNA", at positions 354 to 796 of the family's 1533-position model. The record is from RNAcentral.
GUGGGGAAUUUUGGACAAUGGGCGAAAGCCUGAUCCAGCCACGCCGCGUGCAGGAUGAAGGCCUUCGGGUUGUAAACUGCUUUUGUACGGAACGAAAAGACUCUGGUUAAUACCUGGGGUCCAUGACGGUACCGUAAGAAUAAGCACCGGCUAACUACGUGCCAGCAGCCGCGGUAAUACGUAGGGUGCAAGCGUUAAUCGGAAUUACUGGGCGUAAAGCGUGCGCAGGCGGUUAUAUAAGACAGAUGUGAAAUCCCCGGGCUCAACCUGGGAACUGCAUUUGUGACUGUAUAGCUAGAGUACGGUAGAGGGGGAUGGAAUUCCGCGUGUAGCAGUGAAAUGCGUAGAUAUGCGGAGGAACACCGAUGGCGAAGGCAAUCCCCUGGACCUGUACUGACGCUCAUGCACGAAAGCGUGGGGAGCAAACAGGAUUAGAAACCCCGGUAGUCC